CAUUAUGAAGCUUAAAGCGUUAACCUUUUAAGUUAAAGAUAGUGAAUCUUAAUUCACCAUAAUGA
Molecule: transfer RNA, 65 nt
Filed under: Typhlomys cinereus (Soft-furred tree mouse)
Lineage: Eukaryota; Metazoa; Chordata; Mammalia; Rodentia; Platacanthomyidae
Description: tRNA-Lys
Source: RNAcentral